This 160-nucleotide ribosomal RNA is filed under the name Kindbergia arbuscula. RNAcentral's name for it is "5.8S ribosomal RNA". The stretch from base 9 to 151 matches the Rfam family "5.8S ribosomal RNA". From Rfam's summary of the family: 5.8S ribosomal RNA (5.8S rRNA) is a component of the large subunit of the eukaryotic ribosome. It is transcribed by RNA polymerase I as part of the 45S precursor that also contains 18S and 28S rRNA. The record is from RNAcentral. Lineage: Eukaryota; Viridiplantae; Streptophyta; Bryopsida; Hypnales; Brachytheciaceae.
ACUCUCAGAACGGAUAUCUUGGCUCUUGCAACGAUGAAGAACGCAGCGAAAUGCGAUACGUAGUGUGAAUUGCAGAAUUCCGCGAAUCAUCGAGUCUUUGAACGCAAGUUGCGCCCGAGGCUUGUCCAAGGGCAUUUCCGCUAGAGCGUCACCGCGCCCC